ACGCACGCUGGCGGCAGGCUUCACCCCUGCCAGUCGAACGCACCUUUCGGGGUGAGUGGCAGACGGGUGAGUAACGCGUGGGAAUCUACCCUUCUCUACGGGAUAGCUCCGGGAAACUGGAAUUAAUACCGUAUACGUCCUGAGGGAGAAAGAUUUAUCGGGGAAGGAUGAGCCCGCGUUGGAUUAGCUAGUUGGUGGGGUAAAGGCCUACCAAGGCGACGAUCCAUAGCUGGUCUAAGAGGAUGAUCAGCCACAUUGGGACUGAGACACGGCCCAAACUCCUACGGGAGGCAGCAGUGGGGAAUAUUGGACAAUGGGCGCAAGCCUGAUCCAGCCAUGCCGCGUGAGUGAUGAAGGCCCUAGGGUUGUAAAGCUCUUUCAGUGGGGACGAUAAUGACGGUACCCACAGAAGAAGCCCCGGCUAACUUCGUG
RNAcentral lists this ribosomal RNA (432 nucleotides) under uncultured bacterium. RNAcentral describes it as "partial 16S ribosomal RNA". It matches the Rfam family "Bacterial small subunit ribosomal RNA", at positions 29 to 507 of the family's 1533-position model. The record is from RNAcentral.